Molecule: long non-coding RNA, 2143 nt
Organism: Pongo pygmaeus (Bornean orangutan)
Lineage: Eukaryota; Metazoa; Chordata; Mammalia; Primates; Hominidae
Exons: 3
Source: RefSeq, a predicted model, not a curated record
GGGCUAAACUCAGGGGCAAGCCCAAGCUAAGGGCUGUCAGAGCGGGAUGUGUGUGGGAAUGCCCGCUCCAGAGCAAGCCAGGGUCCGGGGUUAACUCGCCCCGACGCCCGCACCUCACCACAGCACAUCUUACCUUUAACCAGGAAAAGCCGGUCAUCCGCGGACCCCGGAGCCUCCAGCCCAGAGGCCGGCUGCCCAGUUCCAGCGCCUGCUGUCUCCAUGUUUAGGUCGCCUGUAGUGCGUCCGUGCCCAACUGGGCCCGGGUGGAAGCGAGAACGAGGCGGAGGAGAAAGGUUCCGUUGCCGCCUCCUCCUGUGCAAUCUGAAGAAGGGUCCGGAGUGCGGACGCUGUCCCCAAACCCUCCUCCCGCGCCGGGGCCGGGAAGACGUGCUGUGCCCAUCCCCAGGGGCGAUGCCCUCCAAGGCCGACUCUUAGGGAGGAUCUUUUGAUUUCUCCAAGGAGAUCAUUGCUGGACUUAAGUGAUUACUUUGGCUGUUUGAAAGAACUGUCAGCCCCGACUGUAGGAGGCAGUGAGGGUCGCAGAUUGCGCCAAGAUUCCAGGCCCCGCCUGUGAGACCCUGGAGCUCAUUUUCCUAAUCAAACUUACAUUGUGUCCAACGAUUUGGCCAGCGCUAACACUCCACGAUUCUAAAACACAGGCCUCGGUCUUCUGUGUGUACUUUUCUAGAUAACUUCCUAACAGUGUUGAGGAAAGUGUAAGUGACAGGCUUUCUCCCUGGAGGAGAGCCAGCCGCCCGGCUCUGCGGUGACGGGUACCCUCGCCGCGGUGUGAGUGCUCGGCCUCCCUCGGGAAGUGGAACACUCACAGGAUGACCGAAUGAAGGUACCACCCCCGAGAGGAGAGCGACGCCCGCUGGAAGGGCUUGCAGAGCUGCCGGGAACGCUGACCGCUAGCAAGCUUGGUCUUCCGCUGGGAAGCUGGUUUGCCCAUUCUGUAAAUGGCCAUGGAGAGGAGGAGGCUAGUGGUGAUAGAAAAUCUUUUCAGCCUCUCCGAGAACAAUGACAUCUUGUAAAAUAAGGCGGUCUCUCUGCUAUUUGUCCUGCCCCGCAUCGCUGGAGGGCAUGAGCUUCCUGAGGAUGGAGAUGCGACUCUAUGUUCAGUUUAUAUCCCCCAGCUUUCAGGACACCCAGUUCGGUACUUUGGGCACAAUUUGAUUAACUGCACUGCUCUAAGAAUUCCACAAUUCCACCUAGACUUGUUACUAGAGGAAGAUAUGACACAAGCUCCAAACAGGUUUUCAGGGUAACUCAUCAAACUGUCCAGCAGGAUACCCAGCGAUAACAUUCUUGGAAAGCAAGGGAAUGACAGCAAGAUGCAUUAUGUCACACGGAGAAGCUCUAGGCUGGUGUGAGAGCCCACGUGGUAUCUGCACCCUCCAGUUUGCUGCUCUCAGCCUCUUGAAUUCUUCCCAAUAUCUGCUCUGAAUCCCCAGAGCUACAGCUCCUUCAAAAUGGCAUUAGUACGAUCAAUAGAAUUGGUAAGUAUGGUAAUAACUCCUCUUGAGUGAGCUGAAACUAGCUUGAGUCCAAAGCUUGAGUCUCAUUACUCAUUUCCGGUAUCUCAUUACUUAUCUUUUAGAAUCAUAUUCUGUAACUGCCUCAGGUUGAAUAAUACGUCUGUCUUUAUCACAGUAAAUGAGAGUUGCCAUUAUAUAUUCCUCCAUUCAAUUUUUCUUAUUGUAGAGUAUAUCUUUCCUAUCUCUUUCUGUGCUAUCAGUUGAAUUGUUAUCGUUAAUGAUAGACUAGAAAUCUUUUCAAGAGCUGUUAUAUUUCAUAAGCCACUAGAUAUUAUCUUAUAAAAGAGUGAUGCAUAUAAUUUCCUUUAACUAUGUUUCUCUAUCUUCUUGUGAGGAUCAAAUAGGAUCACAGAUGUUCAAGCAUUUUGUAAACUGUUGAGUACUCUGGCAAUGUAAAGCAUUGUUAUUUUUAGUCCUGUGUGUGUCCCAGUUAUAGAAAAGACUCUUAGCAAUCCCAAAAGCCAAAUAUAUUUCCAUCUAUGCAUUAUCAUUUUGCCAGUAUUUCAUAUACAAGGACAUACGUUACACUCACAUUUACUAUUAAAAUCUGUGAUAUCAAUCACUUGCAUCAUUAAAUGCAUCUUAUGUUUAUUGUAUUUAUUGUU